AUUGAACGCUGGCGGCAUGCUUUACACAUGCAAGUCGAGCGGCAGCGCGGGGGCAACCCUGGCGGCGAGCGGCGAACGGGUGAGUAAUGCAUCGGAACGUAUCCUCGAGUGGGGGAUAACCCAGCGAAAGUUGGGCUAAUACCGCAUGAGCUCUGAGGAGGAAGGCGGGGGACCUGCGAGGGCCUCGCGCUGGAGGAGCGGCCGAUGUCCGAUUAGCUAGUUGGUGGGGUAAAGGCUUACCAAGGCGACGAUCGGUAGCUGGUCUGAGAGGAUGAUCAGCCACACUGGGACUGAGACACGGCCCAGACUCCUACGGGAGGCAGCAGUGGGGAAUUUUGGACAAUGGGGGCAACCCUGAUCCAGCCAUGCCGCGUGAGUGAAGAAGGCCUUCGGGUUGUAAAGCUCUUUCGGACGGAACGAAAUGGGCGGGACUAAUACUCCUGUCUGAUGACGGUACCGUAAGAAGAAGCACCGGCUAACUACGUG
This 486-nucleotide ribosomal RNA is filed under the name uncultured bacterium. RNAcentral's name for it is "partial 16S ribosomal RNA". It matches the Rfam family "Bacterial small subunit ribosomal RNA", at positions 29 to 507 of the family's 1533-position model. The record is from RNAcentral.